CUCAGUGUUCAGAGAAUGGGACCAGAAUUUUUGUUGUUGUUACUUUUCAACCUGGCCUGUGUCCAGUGUCAGUCUCAACAGAAGGUCUCUCAGUGGCCCUCACAGACGGUUGUGACCCAGGGCUCCUCUGUGGAGCUCCAGUGCAGUCAGAGUGGCUCUGACCAGAACAUGUACUGGUACCGCCAGCAGAGCUCUACAGGGCUACAGCUCGUCAUGCUUUCUGUCUACAUGAAUGAUCCAGAUAAGGGAGAGAACAUCAGUGAUAGAUUUACCAGCACAAGACUGAAAAUGGAGAAUAUAUCUCUCACUAUCAGUCAGGCUGAGGAGUCAGACACAGGUGUUUAUUUCUGUGCAGCAAGUCCCACAGCAGGCAAUGCUUAUUACUUUGGUCCAGGCACAAAACUCACAGUUAUAGAAGAAAAUGAUAUCAUAUCAAAGCCCAAAGUGAAAAUUCUCCCACCAUCCAAAAAGGAGAUCAAGACGAAGAAUCGUGCCACCCUGGUUUGUGUGGCCACCGACUUCUAUCCUGAUCAUGUCUCGAUCGCCUGGAAGAUCAAAAGCCGCGAUGAGACCCCCCGCGAUGAGACCCCCCGUUCCAAGACGGAUGAGUCUGCAAUACGGUCAGGCAAGCCCGGCAACUACAGCAUCACCAGUCGACUGAGGGUCAGAGCGGAAGAGUGGCAAAACACCCGGAAUAAAUUCUAUUGUUCAGUCAGCUUCUUCAAUGGAAACAAAACCAUAUACGUUAAUGCCACCAUCCAAGGGACCCUGUAUUGUGGCACUACAGCAGAGGAAAAUAAGCGGAGUGGAAAUGCAGCAGAGUUAUCGUAUAUUCUUGUCCUGGUGAAAAGUGCUCUGUUUGCGUUAUUUCUGGCAACCUUUGUAUGGAAAUUGAAGGGUUCCUCAGCAGCAAAGUUUCUUGACUGACAACAGACUGACAAGAAGAAACAUCAGAAGAAUCCUUUGAAAAAGAAACUAUAUAUGUGUGGUUUAUGUGUUUAUGAUAAGUAUAAUUUUAUUAUCAGGUGUUGCCUGUCAUCAUCUCUUAAGUAUCCAAGUUGUGUGUCAGGUUUUUCUUAAUUAUCCAAAAUGAGUUACAUUCAACAAUUGUAGAUUCCUACAGCUGUCAAAAAUGUUGACCAUCUGCAUAGUAUGUUUACUUCACAGGAUGUCAUGUGACCAAAGUUCUACUUUGGAACCCUUGUUCUCUGUAACAAUUCACUGAAUAUGAUUAUGGAGGGGGCAUGAUAAAGUAAUAUAAUAUAAAUGUAAAUGGAUGAAUAAUGGCUGUGAAAACUGAAUAUAAUAACUGAACAUAUAUUUCUAUAAAUGACCAAUAAUAUUGUCUGGCAGACAUCUAUAAUCAUUAAAGCUUCUGUUUUCAGUUUA
Non-coding RNA from Anguilla rostrata (American eel), 1389 nucleotides. The record is from the annotation of a RefSeq genome assembly. Lineage: Eukaryota; Metazoa; Chordata; Actinopteri; Anguilliformes; Anguillidae.